Molecule: ribosomal RNA, 634 nt
Filed under: Escherichia coli
Lineage: Bacteria; Pseudomonadati; Pseudomonadota; Gammaproteobacteria; Enterobacterales; Enterobacteriaceae
Description: partial 23S ribosomal RNA
Rfam family: Bacterial large subunit ribosomal RNA
Source: RNAcentral
GUACACAAAAAUGCACAUGCUGUGAGCUCGAUGAGUAGGGCGGGACACGUGGUAUCCUGUCUGAAUAUGGGGGGACCAUCCUCCAAGGCUAAAUACUCCUGACUGACCGAUAGUGAACCAGUACCGUGAGGGAAAGGCGAAAAGAACCCCGGCGAGGGGAGUGAAAAAGAACCUGAAACCGUGUACGUACAAGCAGUGGGAGCACAGAGCAAUCUGUGUGACUGCGUACCUUUUGUAUAAUGGGUCAGCGACUUAUAUUCUGUAGCAAGGUUAACCGAAUAGGGGAGCCGAAGGGAAACCGAGUCUUAACUGGGCGUUAAGUUGCAGGGUAUAGACCCGAAACCCGGUGAUCUAGCCAUGGGCAGGUUGAAGGUUGGGUAACACUAACUGGAGGACCGAACCGACUAAUGUUGAAAAAUUAGCGGAUGACUUGUGGCUGGGGGUGAAAGGCCAAUCAAACCGGGAGAUAGCUGGUUCUCCCCGAAAGCUAUUUAGGUAGCGCCUCGUGAAUUCAUCUCCGGGGGUAGAGCACUGUUUCGGCAAGGGGGUCAUCCCGACUUACCAACCCGAUGCAAACUGCGAAUACCGGAGAAUGUUAUCACGGGAGACACACGGCGGGUGCUAACGUCCGUCG